Molecule: ribosomal RNA, 497 nt
Filed under: uncultured bacterium
Lineage: Bacteria
Description: partial 16S ribosomal RNA
Rfam family: Bacterial small subunit ribosomal RNA
Source: RNAcentral
GAUGAACGCUCGCGGCGUGCCUAAUACAUGCAAGUCGAGCGAACGGACGAGAAGCUUGCUUCUCUGAUGUUAGCGGCGGACGGGUGAGUAACACGUGGAUAACCUACCUAUAAGACUGGGAUAACUUCGGGAAACCGUAGCUAAUACCGGAUAAUAUUUUGAACCGCAUGGUUCAAAAGUGAAAGACGGUCUUGCUGUCACUUAUAGAUGGAUCCGCGCUGCAUUAGCUAGUUGGUAAGGUAACGGCUUACCAAGGCAACGAUGCAUAGCCGACCUGAGAGGGUGAUCGGCCACACUGGAACUGAGACACGGUCCAGACUCCUACGGGAGGCAGCAGUAGGGAAUCUUCCGCAAUGGGCGAAAGCCUGACGGAGCAACGCCGCGUGAGUGAUGAAGGUCUUCGGAUCGUAAAACUCUGUUAUUAGGGAAGAACAUAUGUGUAAGUAACUGUGCACAUCUUGACGGUACCUAAUCAGAAAGCCACGGCUAACUACGUG